GAUGAACGCUGGCGGCGUGCCUAAUACAUGCAAGUCGAGCGAACAGACGAGGAGCUUGCUCCUCUGACGUUAGCGGCGGACGGGUGAGUAACACGUGGAUAACCUACCUAUAAGACUGGGAUAACUUCGGGAAACCGGAGCUAAUACCGGAUAAUAUAUUGAACCGCAUGGUUCAAUAGUGAAAGACGGUUUUGCUGUCACUUAUAGAUGGAUCCGCGCCGCAUUAGCUAGUUGGUAAGGUAGCGGCUUACCAAGGCGACGAUGCGUAGCCGACCUGAGAGGGUGAUCGGCCACACUGGAACUGAGACACGGUCCAGACUCCUACGGGAGGCAGCAGUAGGGAAUCUUCGGCAAUGGGCGAAAGCCUGACGGAGCAACGCCGCGUGAGUGAUGAAGGUCUUCGGAUCGUAAAACUCUGUUAUUAGGGAAGAACAAAUGUGUAAGUAACUAUGCACGUCUUGACGGUACCUAAUCAGAAAGCCACGGCUAACUACGUG
Molecule: ribosomal RNA, 497 nt
Filed under: uncultured bacterium
Lineage: Bacteria
Description: partial 16S ribosomal RNA
Rfam family: Bacterial small subunit ribosomal RNA
Source: RNAcentral